Monomorium pharaonis (pharaoh ant) is the source of this 3074-nucleotide long non-coding RNA. RefSeq lists it as uncharacterized. Lineage: Eukaryota; Metazoa; Arthropoda; Insecta; Hymenoptera; Formicidae. The transcript has 3 exons. The record is from RefSeq and is a predicted model, not a curated record.
UGUAUCGAAUCAAUUAUCGAUCGAUGUGGGAUAUCGAUUGGACUUAUAUUUUAAUUUACACAUACUUUCUUUUUUUAUGGAAAGUAAUUAUAAUUUAUGAAACAUAAUUUAAACAUGAAUUAAUAAUAAUUAGCCUUAUUAGUGCGAAAACGCAAAGUUCAAAAUGAUAUAUAUCGCAGAGGCACUCGACUUGACGCGUGAAGUUAGCGCCAGAAAUGAUCAUCUCUGGCUCGAGCCAACUUAAUAGAGUUGUCUGUGUCCCGUUCCGUUCCGGAAGGAAAGUGAACCCUUAUAAUAGUAUAUUUCUUUUCGGAACGGAACAGGGCACGGGACAUAUCAGCUCCCGAUCGAGUCUUCCUGGCAAAUCAUCUAAUCGGUAAAUAUGACACAUAUUUAUCUUGUACUGUGUUUCGUUCGAACGCGUAUUCCUCGUAGCGUAAAUCGCGACGCGUGGAGCGGUCGCGCGAUUGUAACAUGCGACAAUAAUUCCGUGCAAAAGCCGAUCGCGCGGGAAAGGUAACCCUUUCGCCAUUUUAACAGCUUUCUCUGUUUAUUUCACUCGCGGAAUCCGUGACAAUCAAUGGCAAUCCCGAGAUGUAUCGGCUCUGCGAUGUGUAAUUGGCAAUAAAUGAUGUUUACAUUAAUGCUAUAUUGUAAUAUUUUAACGGUCGAAAAAGUAUUUCGUCUAUUUCUUUCCGAAAAGUAACGGACGCCGAGACAGGUCAGCUCUCGAUCGAGUGACAUCGCAUCACUAAUAAUCGCUUCAUCGGUAAUUUAAUCUUGCAUUGUCCAAACUGUAUUCCUUAUUUAAACGUAAAUCGCGAUGCGUAGAACAGUCGCAUGCAACCGUAAACAUCCGAUAUUCCUAUAUCCGGGCGAAAGUCGAUUACGCGGGAAAAGUAUCUCCCUUUGUCAUCUUAAUUAACAGCGUUCUUUUUUUACUUGCAGAAUCCGUAACAAUUAUUCUGAGACGCAUUGGCCCUGGGGGCGGAUAUCGUUGUGACGUCCGAUUGAAUGCAACGAAUGUGGAACGACUCGCCGUUGCUAGAACAAGUGCUAUCGCAAAGUAUUUAAUCGAACGUGACGGAUGUAAAACGAUCCGGCGCUAUAUAGAACGGCAUCGCAAAUCAUCAUAAGUGGUAAGUGUAACGUACACAUCCCAGUAAGCAAGAAAUUAUUUAAGAUUUUGUAAAUCAUAAACUAAUAUUAAGAUUUUAUUUAAUUAUAACUUCAUCGUAGUUUAUUAUAAUAUUAAAAUAAUAUUAAUAUGUAUCAAAUUUGUUAAUUUCCUUUAUGAAUUGUGAUAAUGAUUUAUUUGAUGUUUUCAACAUCAUUUUAAUUUUAUACAUAUAGCUUUCAAAUAGAAGACAACUAAAUUUAUCCAGUGAACCAAAUUUUCUUUACAUCUUUUGUUAAAUGAAUGAGAUUAUGAACAUUAUGAAUUAUAAAUUCUUAUCCAUAUAAGUCACUAAAUUUUUUUACAAAAUAUUAUAAUAAUUCAUUUGCCUAAAUACAUUUUGUUAUUAAAUUGUCACAUAUUAGUAACCGAAUUGCGCAAUGUAAAAAUAGAAAAUGCAGAUAAUAAUGCUUUUUAAAAUAUGGUUUUAUCAUUCAUGGACCAUAAUGUAACAAGUUCUAAAUUUAAUCGCAUGGCAUCUGUCAUAUUCUGUUAUUAGUCUAGGUUUUCUUGCAAACUUAUGACGAGUUGAAUUGAAUAUUAAUUUUAGUUUUUUAUUAAUAGCAACGAUUUUUUUUAUUAGACAAGUUUCGUGAAUGCCUUUAAUGCCAAAAACUUAACAAACGUUUCAUAAUUUCUAAUAGUACAAAAUGCAUAGUUUAAAGGAAAAUUUGUGACAAGUCCAAUUUUUAAAUCACAUAAAAUAGACUUUUCUUUGUGAUAAUCUUCAUUAGUCCGAAAAUAAAAUUCAUUUGUUUGUAGUUCUGACUUUAAUUCUGGGAAAGUCAUUAAAUUGUUUAUAAACAGACUUUGGUUAAAUAAUUAAUACAGCUAUGAUAAGAGUUAAAAAUUUUUACACAUACAAAGGCAUCGCAAAGAAUCUUACUAAUGUUUACUUUUAAAACUCGAUUAUUUAAUUGCAAACAUUGUUUGAAAAAUUUACAUUUUUUAAAUGAAUUAAAAAAAAAUUAAAUUUCAAAAAGAUAUAAUAGUUUUUAAGCUUAUAUCCAUAACAAACAAUUGGGAAGAACCUGAGAAAAGCAAUUGGGAAGAACCUGAGUUGCUUUAAUUCACCAAUUUUAAUUAAAAUAAGCCAAAAUUGAAUGCCACUACUUUUUGUUAGAAGAAAUCCACAGGAAAAGAUUAUACGAAAAUUAAUGAACAAAAAAUUGCAUAUUUUUAUGCAUGAAUUUCUGCAGUUUUUACACAUUUUUGUACAAAGAUUUCGCCUUCAGAUUUUUUCUGCAGAAAAUUUUGCAGAAAUUUAUGUAACCUUUUCAGAAGGCAAGAAAUUUCAGAAAACUUUAUAUAUAAUUCUGCAAAAUAUUGUGCAGAAAAAUUCGGAAGGCGAAAACUAUGUACAAAAAUCUCUAAAAACCAAAGAGAUUCAUGCACAAAUAUGUACAAUUUUUGGUGCAAUAAUUCUUCCAUAAUUUUUCCUACAGAAAUCCAUCAAUAUUUAUUGAUAUGUUAACUCCAUUUCUUGAAAAAUUACUUUGAAUUAAUUGUAAUAAUAAAUUUGGCUUUAAUCUAAAGUGACGUGUUGCAUAGUUAUAACAAUUUUAGCGACAAUUAUUGAAAGUUCUUGUAUAAUUUUGUGCUCUAAUAUCGUUUCUAAACAAAGUUCUGGCGUUUAAACGUGUGCACAUAAUGCCCGAAAUCAGCACGAUACUCGAAUAAAAGUAUCGUGCUGGGUAGUUUUGACAUAUCUGGCGACAAUUCUCGGUAGUUCUCGUAUAGCACCGUGCUUCUAUAUUUUUUUAAACAGAGUUCUAUUGUUUAAAAUUGUGCACACAAUUUUAAAUGGCUGAAAUCAACAAGACACUCGAAUUUAACUGACGUACUGGAUAGUUUUGACAUAUCUGGCGACAAUUCUCGACAGUUCUCGUAUACUGCU